GACGAACGCUGGCGGCGUGCUUAACACAUGCAAGUCGUACGGUAAGGCCCUUUCGGGGGUACACGAGUGGCGAACGGGUGAGUAACACGUGAGUAACCUGCCCACAACUUUGGGAUAACGCUAGGAAACUGGUGCUAAUACUGGAUAUGUGCUCCUGCUGCAUGGUGGGGGUUGGAAAGCUCCGGCGGUUGUGGAUGGACUCGCGGCCUAUCAGCUUGUUGGUGGGGUAGUGGCCUACCAAGGCGGCGACGGGUAGCCGGCCUGAGAGGGUGACCGGCCACAUUGGGACUGAGAUACGGCCCAGACUCCUACGGGAGGCAGCAGUGGGGAAUAUUGCACAAUGGGCGCAAGCCUGAUGCAGCAACGCCGCGUGCGGGAUGACGGCCUUCGGGUUGUAAACCGCUUUCAGGAGGGACGAAGCUUUUUGUGACGGUACCUGCAGAAGAAGCACCGGCUAACUACGUG
This 465-nucleotide ribosomal RNA is filed under the name uncultured bacterium. RNAcentral describes it as "partial 16S ribosomal RNA". It matches the Rfam family "Bacterial small subunit ribosomal RNA", at positions 28 to 507 of the family's 1533-position model. The record is from RNAcentral.